GAUGAACGCUGGCGGCGUGCCUAAUACAUGCAAGUCGAGCGAACGGACGAGAAGCUUGCUUCUCUGAUGUUAGCGGCGGACGGGUGAGUAACACGUGGAUAACCUACCUAUAAGACUGGGGUAACUUCGGGAAACCGGAGCUAAUACCGGAUAAUAUUUUGAACCGCAUGGUUCAAAAGUGAAAGACGGUCUUGCUGUCACUUAUAGAUGGAUCCGCGCUGCAUUAGCUAGUUGGUAAGGUAACGGCUUACCAAGGCAACGAUGCAUAGCCGACCUGAGAGGGUGAUCGGCCACACUGGAACUGAGACACGGUCCAGACUCCUACGGGAGGCAGCAGUAGGGAAUCUUCCGCAAUGGGCGAAAGCCUGACGGAGCAACGCAGCGUGAGUGAUGAAGGUCUUCGGAUCGUAAAACUCUGUUAUUAGGGAAGAACAUAUGUGUAAGUAACUGUGCACAUCUUGAGGGUACCUAAUCAGAAAGCCACGGCUAACUACGUG
RNAcentral lists this ribosomal RNA (497 nucleotides) under uncultured bacterium. RNAcentral's name for it is "partial 16S ribosomal RNA". It matches the Rfam family "Bacterial small subunit ribosomal RNA", at positions 28 to 507 of the family's 1533-position model. The record is from RNAcentral.